GCAAAAACGAAGAUAAGAAUUAGUAGAAGAAGAAAGUCUUACAGAGAACUGCCGGUUGGUGCGAGGCAGAAGAUGGAAUUCUUUGAACUCAUCUUGGAGUUCUUCUGUUGAACCACCUAGUAGACAGAAGCGGGUAUUCCCGUUAUAGAAUAUAAUGAGUGCAUCUGACAUGACAUUAUAGAGAGUGUUGGAUGAAUAAGAGUGGUACCACGGAAGUAAGCCUUUUCGUCUCUUGA
Molecule: non-coding RNA, 236 nt
Filed under: Bacillota bacterium
Lineage: Bacteria; Bacillati; Bacillota
Description: Firmicutes bacterium T-box sequence
Rfam family: T-box leader
About the family: Uncharged tRNA acts as the effector for transcription antitermination of genes in the T-box leader family.
Source: RNAcentral